AUGGGCUCAAGAACCAUAAUGAAUAUUUCCCAAAGAAGCCCUGUGCUUGACUUGGGUUGCAGGUUUGGGGGGUGUGUGUGUGUGUGUGUGUGUGACAAUUUAUUUUCCAUCUUGUGGGUUGCAGUUAGCUCUAAACCACUUGGGCUGCCUGGUUGGUACAUCCCAGGCACGGUUCGAAUCCUGCCUCUCAUCAGCCUAACCCCGUACAUCGGACCUUUAUGUCUUUCAGAUAAAGCCACUUUCACAUCCUCAAGGCACAGAGCAGAAAACUCCCAGUUAAACCACAGAGUUCCAUUAAAAGUUGCCACCCGUAUUCAAAAGCCUGAUUGUACACCUUGGGGUUCUGCCGAAGAAGCACUUACAGGAGUUCAGAGACUGGUGCCGUGUAGUAAAAAUGAAUCGACUUUUAGAAACCACACAGGAUGCUCCGUCUUUGACCUGAGAGCCAAAGCCUGGCUGCACGUUUUCCUUGCUGGACGGAAGUCUUGGUCCCUGCUGUAGGUCUAACCUGGACAUCUUUCAUUACAACAGAGGAACUACGAAAGGUCUCUUUCUCAAAACUUUAGAAUGAGGGACAAAUGCUUGGUAAAUGGUUACUAGUACCACAGGCAAAACAAAAUCUUCCAUGAAACACUUGAAACUUAUACCUCAACCAAGAAGAACACUGAAGAUCAGUUACACCUUUGCUCUUGAGGUCAGUAGGAUACUUGGGGUUUCUUUUAUACCUUGCUACAGACUUCAAAGGAACAUCAGCUGACAGAAGGUAAGGAAUGUUUUUAAUGUGGAUGGCCUUGGACUUUGUGAUUAUUUGGGAAGAAGAGGCUUCAUCCAGUUCUAUUUUUGGCAAUAGUUGUAUCCAUUUUAGACGCACCCAUGUUCAUUGACUCUGUUGAGUGCAGUCUCUCAGUCACUGCUGAAGGGAUUCAAAAUACACCUUCUGGACUAUUCAAGGGAAAGCCUUCCCGGGAACAUUCCCAAGAGCCAGCUGCCAUCAUGGUAUUUGGGACUUCUGGCUAUCACAGUGUUAUCUCUCAUAAACUGCCUAAUACGUCGCUUCUUGGUUGUUCUCUGAUUCCUGAGUGUGUGUAACUUACAAGCCAGUAAGGACCUCCAUAGCUGCAAUAAGCUCAAGAAUUCUGUAUUUUCAUGGGUCUCUAAGUUUUAUUUUACAAGUGUGCAUGAGCAGAUUUUUGAUAAACUUACCUUCUUAGUAUUUUUCAGUCCUGGUCAUAUAUUGGAAAUUGUCUGCAGAUUUACAUUUUAGAAAAUGUACCAGGGCUUCCAGGUGGCACAGCGGUAAAGAAUCUGCCUGCCAAUGCAGGAGACACAAGAGAUCCAAGUUUGAUCCCUGGGUUGGGAAGAUUCCCCUGGAGUAGGAGAUGGCAACUCACUCCAGCUAUUCUUGCCUGGAAAAUUCCAUGGACAGAGGAGCCUGGUGGGCUACAGUCCAUGGGGCUGCAGAGUCAGACACAACUGAGCACAUACACACACAUCAGAUGCUGGAACCUCCAACCAACUGAAUGAAAAUCUGGAGUCAAGCCCACGCUUCUGCAUUUUAAUAAAGCUUUAAUGGUCAUUCCA
This 1581-nucleotide long non-coding RNA is filed under the name Bos indicus x Bos taurus (hybrid cattle). RNAcentral describes it as "lncRNA (ENSBIXG00000010464.1)". The record is from RNAcentral. Lineage: Eukaryota; Metazoa; Chordata; Mammalia; Artiodactyla; Bovidae.